CAACUUGAGAGUUUGAUCCUGGCUCAGAGCGAACGCUGGCGGCAGGCUUAACACAUGCAAGUCGAGCGGGCGUAGCAAUACGUCAGCGGCAGACGGGUGAGUAACGCGUGGGAACAUACCUUUUGGUUCGGAACAACACAGGGAAACUUGUGCUAAUACCGGAUAAGCCCUUACGGGGAAAGAUUUAUCGCCGAAAGAUCGGCCCGCGUCUGAUUAGCUAGUUGGUGAGGUAACGGCUCACCAAGGCGACGAUCAGUAGCUGGUC
RNAcentral lists this ribosomal RNA (265 nucleotides) under Hyphomicrobiales bacterium. RNAcentral's name for it is "Rhizobiales bacterium (bioreactor metagenome) partial 16S ribosomal RNA". It matches the Rfam family "Bacterial small subunit ribosomal RNA", at positions 1 to 292 of the family's 1533-position model. Lineage: Bacteria; Pseudomonadati; Pseudomonadota; Alphaproteobacteria; Hyphomicrobiales. The record is from RNAcentral.